RNAcentral lists this long non-coding RNA (3895 nucleotides) under Homo sapiens (human). RNAcentral's name for it is "HSALNT0312685". Lineage: Eukaryota; Metazoa; Chordata; Mammalia; Primates; Hominidae. The record is from RNAcentral.
GCAGAUGUGUGGAGCUUACGGAAUGUGGAGCCCAUUUAUUUUGCAUGCACAUUUAAUGUGAAAAAUUAUUUUUAAGUUCUAAAGCAACCUCUCGGAAAUGCUAAGAACUGCAAAGCUACGCAGACCCUGAUGCAUUCCUAAAUAUAAUGAAGAAAAAACAGAAAUGCACCAAGAAUUGAAAACCCUGGUUACUCACGAUUCUUUUCACCUUUCCACCUUGACCCAGCUUUCGUUCUGUCCGAGACACCCACAGGAGAAGUUAUCUCAGCCAUCGAGAGCAGCAGCAUCAGUAACAGCACAGCCAUGCCAGGUCAGAUCUUUGGUACAGAUGCUGCCAUCACAAUCCUAGAAGACUCACCAUUGCUUCACAGAGUGGAGGCAUGUCUUGUUCCACAACAGUGAGUAUGAAGGAUCUGGAAGAAUGGGCCACUCAGAAGAGUUGCUGGUAAAGGAUGCAUGAGGGGAUGAAUGCUCAACAGUAUCUUCACCCUGACAUUUUUUAUCAUGUGUUCACUGGACAAGAAAGACGCCACUCUAGGAUUUAAGAUUUACUGUGUUAAAAGGAAAAAAAAGGAGAAAAAAGCAAAAAUACGAAUCUAAGAAAAAAUAUAUGGAGACGAGGACCUUCUAAGCAUGAAAACAAAGAUAGAAAUAUUAAAACGAAACACUAUGAUUUUCCAUAGGAAAAAAAAAACUGGUGAAAAGGAGUGGGGAGCAUUUCCAACCUAACAAAAUGUUAAUACUUUUUAGCAUAAAGCAAAACAAAUACAACAUAUUUCAGCAUCAAAUCACACAAAUAAAAUGACCCCAAUAGAAACCAGAAGAAUAGGUACAUAUCCAAUUUGCCAGAGUAAUACUUAAAAAGGAAAAAAAAAUCAAAUUGAAACCCAAACAAAACUUUCUUUACUAUUACUAGGAAAGCAAUAAAUUUAAACUAAAAAAUAUUUAAAAACUGAAAAUUUAUACUAUCAUGACCCUAUAAAACUGUAUCCAACUUUAUGCUAACUUAUUAAACGUUUUUAAGUGGUGACAUUGAAUUAUUUUAACUAUGAUUAUGUUGGUAAUUUCCUGAAGUACAAUAUCAAUAUGCAUCACAUUUAUACUUUACUACUCAGGAAAAAAAUGUAUACCUUGCUUACAAUAAACAUGUUCCUAUGUUCAAUUUUCCUCUAAAAAUUCCUUCCUAUGGUUUACUCAUUUUGUGGUUGCUUAAUAUGAACACAAUUCUCUUUAAAAUGUAAUCAAUCAAUUGAUAGGUAUCAUGCUUUGACUUGUGGUCACACAAAAAGUGCUAAAAUUAGUUAUUCUCUACAAAAAAUCAUAACAUUUGUAUUUUAAGUGUUAAGUGUGUGACACUGAAUGUUCAUUUGUAUUUGCAUGUAAUUUACCACAGGCAUUGUCAACAGAUUAAGAGAAUUAGUUUUGAUAAGGACUAUAUAAGGAGGACAAGGAAAGAGUAUAUAGAACCAAUAAUAUUUUCAUUGAGAUUAACCAAAUCUUUUGAUUUUUUCCCCAAUGACUUAUUAAUUCUCCGCAUGCAUUUUUUCUCUGAAAAUGUUACCAUUUAAAAGUAAUCUUUCAAUUAGAAAAAAGAAUAUAUUGAAUAGAAGUCUAUAUUCAGUAAAAUGUCUUUUCAGACAAUGGAAAACUGUACAGAUUUUCAUAAUAAAACCAGAAUAAAAUGAUCUAUAUUUUAAGAAUAAUGUAUAUGUAAUUCAUUGUUACAUUAAUUCACUAUUUUAAAAAGCAAUAAAAAGCAUUUUCACAAGGUAUUAUUAUGAAUAAAAUAAUAAAAUAAGGUACUUUGACCCGGAACCUGGCAGCCAGGCAAAGCAAAUGUUGGUGAAUUCUUUUUUUUGCCAUUACAAAUGGUGGUUACAAAUGGUGAACAAAUAUAAAUACCUGAAGUUGAAUAAAGCUGCAUUAGUAGUAAGCUUAGGAUUUUAUAAUUUUUCUUUGAAGUGAUAAAUAAUAUGUAAGUUAUGUGAUGUAUUACAGAAAAAAUAAAACAAAGCAUCAAUUUUGAUUCAAAAAUUUAUGACUAUCAUCAAGACAUCAGUUCCUUUUAUAAAUUCUAAUUCUUACCUCAUAAAACAAUAUAUCUAUUACUCUGGCCAAUUAUCUUUCACUUAAACGAAGUGCCUGGUUAGAAGGAAAGAGGAAAGUUGGUAAUUUUGACUUAAAUUGAUAAAUGUAAUAUAUACUUCCCAUUUACUGAGAGGCAUUGCCAUCAAUAUAUGGAGACUACAGUAACACUGAUUGUAAAUAUCCAAAUGUGUUUUAAAUUUACCAUGUAACAUGUGGCCCAAUUUACAAAAUCUAUUACCUAUCUAACACACUUUCUCCAAACCGGAAGAAAAGCUUUUCAUAAGUUGAAUAUAUUUUAAGUAGUAUUCUGAUGUGAGUACAUAAUAAUUUUAUACCAGUAAAGCAAGUGCUUAUACAAAGAAAAUAGCCACAGUGAGGAAUAAACCAGAUGCCUUUCUAUUAAAAUUUAAUGAUCCUUGUCAAGAGUAUUUAUAGAUCUGAGAGAGAAAUCAGAAUAUAGCAUCAGAUAAAGCACUUAAAAUUAUGCCAAUUUUUCUGACCCACCCAGAAAAUUAAAAUUUAGCCUUUUAUAACCCUAAUGGGAACAAUCCGUUAAUACCAAAUAUACAACAAUAUAAUAGCAAUUUCACCUGCUUUGAUUUCCCUAGCAUGUUUAAGCAGUAUUUUUUUCUUUUUUCCUUUUUUUCUUUUUUGAGACGGAGUCUCGCUCUGUCGCCCAGGCUGGAGUGCAGUGGCGCGAUCUCAGCUCACUGCAAGCUGCACCUCCCUGGUUCACGCCAUUCUCCUGCCUCAACCUCCCGAGUAGCUGGGACUACAGACGCCCACCACCACGCCCGGCUAAUUUUUUUGUAUUUUUAGUAGAGACGGGGUUUCACCUUGUCAGCCAGAAGUAGUAUUUUUAUUAAAAAAAAUUAAUUGCACAUCUGCUUGGCUUAGCUAUAUUAAAAUCAAUAAGGAAUUAAUAAAAUUUUAGUUUAUCAGAGAUACAAAGCAUUGUAAGAAAUUACUUCACUGAAAUUAAAAUAUUAAAAAGAAUUUUAGUCUGACUACAACUUUCAUCAAGCUAAGUUGUAACCAAAAGUCUGUCUUAUUGGCAAUUAUCGAAUCAUAAUUUGGUGGACUCAUAGGGUCACAUUCUUUGACACUCUAAGAGAAGAAGGGGUCUAUUUCUGCCCUGUUGCAUCUGGGCUUGCCUGUGGUGCUUUAACCACCACAGUGGGACAGAAAUGACAAGUUGUGAAAUCUGGGACUACUCCUGAGGUGAAUGGGGGUUCCCAUCUUGGCCUUUUGCAUCUUGAGCUACCACAUAAAAUGACUGACAACUCUGCUGAGGGAUUACAAGAAGUGGCCCUGAAAAUACAGGAAGAAGGAGAGGGGCACAGCUGAGCACACCCUUCUAGAGGUCUCCCCUAAGGCAUCAAGCAUGAGAGUGAAGCUGUCUGGAUUGUCAUCCAUACAUUAUUGUAUCAGCCAAGUUGCCAACUGAAUACCAUCCUGACUCUAAUUGGUACCACAUGGACUAGAAGAAUCACCCAGGCAUGUCCUGCUUGAAUUCCUCACUCACAAAGUAUGACACAUAAUGAAAUGUUUGUUGCUUUCAGUCCCUAAGUUUUAGAGCAGUUUAUUACACAGCAAUAAGUAACCAGAAAACAGAGGAUCUUAGAACUAAGAUGCCAUGCAACAACAGCAAGCAUAUUCUAAUACUGGCACUUCUCUAUCAUUUUGACAUAAUGUUUGAAAAUGGCAUAAUGUUUGAAAUGGCAAAAUAGGAAAUGUUUCCAGAGGCAUAAAAAUUCUCCUAAGAUUUGUCAAAAAAAGGUUGUGUAAAGAAUUUUUCCUAAAAAAC